UACGUAGGGUGCGAGCGUUGUCCGGAUUUAUUGGGCGUAAAGGGCGCGUAGGCGGUCAGCACAAGUCAGUUGUGAAAUCUCCGGGCUUAACUCGGAAAGGUCAACUGAUACUGUGCGACUAGAGUGCGGAAGGGGCAACUGGAAUUCUCGGUGUAGCGGUGAAAUGCGUAGAUAUCGAGAGGAACACCUGCGGCGAAGGCGGGUUGCUGGGCCGACACUGACGCUGAUGCGCGAAAGCCAGGGGAGCGAACGGG
Molecule: ribosomal RNA, 254 nt
Filed under: uncultured bacterium
Lineage: Bacteria
Description: partial 16S ribosomal RNA
Rfam family: Bacterial small subunit ribosomal RNA
Source: RNAcentral